UGGCUCAGUUGGUAGAGCAUGGUGCUUACAAUGCCAGGGUUGUAGGUUCGAUUCCCAC
Molecule: transfer RNA, 58 nt
Filed under: Salmo salar (Atlantic salmon)
Lineage: Eukaryota; Metazoa; Chordata; Actinopteri; Salmoniformes; Salmonidae
Also listed under: 1 other name
Rfam family: tRNA
About the family: Transfer RNA (tRNA) molecules are approximately 80 nucleotides in length. Their secondary structure includes four short double-helical elements and three loops (D, anti-codon, and T loops).
Source: Rfam by way of RNAcentral